Arvicola amphibius (Eurasian water vole) is the source of this 1084-nucleotide long non-coding RNA. RefSeq lists it as uncharacterized. The transcript is spliced from 2 exons. NCBI's taxonomy places the organism in Eukaryota, Metazoa, Chordata, Mammalia, Rodentia, Cricetidae. The record is from RefSeq and is a predicted model, not a curated record.
CAGUUUCCCAAGGCCCUCAUCCACAAAACCUCAGAUCUUCUGGGCCUGGCAGCUGAAGGAGCUAUCCUGUGUGGAAAUGAAACGCUGACUGCUGUCCUCUGUGACUGCCAAAGACUGAUGCCCUCUGCCCCCAAGGACACCGUGAAGGAGCCGAGGGCAACUUUCUAGUCUAUAUUUAUCCCAGAAGAUCUCCAAUCAGCUAAGGAACACAAACUGCUCCAAAGACACUAGCCUCAGGUGGCCCUUUGAAACUAGCAAGCUCUGGACUUGCUGAAAGCAAGGAAUGAGAACCAGAUGCUUCUGACAAUAUUGCCUACCAACUUGAGCCCCAGCUUCAGACCAGCAUUCCAGACUCCCUUUGCUAGCCCCAGGUAAUCCACAGAACCUGCACAGCAAACCAGAUGUAACUGUGCCUUCCUGGUCUUUGACUGGCAUUCCAGCCUUCCUGGGCCCUGACUGAAAUGCCCGAUUUCAGCUGAGAGGUAGGUACAGAAGAGAUGACGUUGUCCCUUAUCCUUAACCAAAGGCUGGGAUGUGAGAUCUAAAGGAAACUAGUUCCCCUCUGCCAAAGGGGCCAUUUUCCCAGCAUUGCCAAAAAUGACAAACAGCCAUCUCUGGUGCCUAUUAGACCAAAGUGCUUGCUGUCCUCUGGCUCCUUCAGUACUACAGACACUGAGAGUUACAUAAAGGAACACUCAAGAAGGGGGCUGUUCAUCUUGGAACCCAGCAGUCAUUUGUCUGAGUCCAGUCCCUGGAAGACAAGUUCCCAGUAACCUUGACUCACUGAUCGAUCCCCAUCCGAAACUGUACAGCCCUGACUCUCGACUUGUUAAGCUAUGACUAAAUGCUUUUUUGGCUUCUGUAACUUGCUUAGGUAGAUACCCAAAGAUUGGUUGGGGUCUCUUAACUUGGCAGAACAGACCAGCUUUUUCUUGCCUGCAUAGGUAUUGAAAUUCUUCUUGUGGUUUGCCCCUUUCAAAAAUCCUUCCCUUGCUUCCCUUCUCAUGACAAUCUGAAAUUCAGCUCAGAAGUUGUUCGUCCUGCUAGCCACUAACCAACCAAUAAAUCUUUCAUUAUAAUUGGA